GAUCAUGGCUCAGGAUGAACGCUAGCGACAGGCUUAACACAUGCAAGUCGAGGGGCAGCAUGAGGUAGCAAUACCUUGAUGGCGACCGGCGCACGGGUGAGUAACGCGUAUCCAACCUGCCCAUCACUUGGGAAUAACCUUGCGAAAGUAAGACUAAUGCCCAAUGACAUCCCACGAAGGCAUCCGAAUGGGAUUAAAGAUUUAUCGGUGAUGGAUGGGGAUGCGU
This 226-nucleotide ribosomal RNA is filed under the name uncultured bacterium. RNAcentral's name for it is "partial 16S ribosomal RNA". It matches the Rfam family "Bacterial small subunit ribosomal RNA", at positions 15 to 236 of the family's 1533-position model. The record is from RNAcentral.